This is a long non-coding RNA of Scylla paramamosain (green mud crab), 1136 nucleotides long. RefSeq lists it as uncharacterized. Lineage: Eukaryota; Metazoa; Arthropoda; Malacostraca; Decapoda; Portunidae. The record is from RefSeq and is a predicted model, not a curated record. The transcript is spliced from 3 exons.
UGGUGGGGAGGGUCAGCAGGGCAGCCAAGAGGAGAUAAGGGAGCCACUCAGUGCAGGGAAGGUAGUGGGUGACGGUAGUGUGUGGAGUGGCAGGAGAGAAAUAGGAAGUGUGUUUAGAAUGUGCUUGUGAGGUGAGUAAAGGAGUUUUGAUGGAGAGAGGCAAAAGAUGUAUGAGGUGUAUGUGUGUGAGUGAGUGAAUCAUAUGGAGUUGAAUGUUUUUCAGCUUAAUGUUUUAGAGUGAAUUGGUGUUUUAGUGUUUUAGGGAAUGAAUUGGUGUUUCUAAAUAUUAAAUGUGAAUUUUUUAAUUUAAAACUUCAGAUUUACAGGAAUACUUAGUAUAUUUUUGUAUACUCUUAAUGUCCUAUGUAAAAGAACAAUUAUUAGCAGGUGGGCUCCCUUGAGAUGCCAGAAGGGUGUCCAUUGCUCUUCACUAACCAUGGCCCUGUACUUCACUGUUGGCUCCUCAUGGGCACUACAAUGACACUAACUGGCUCUUGGAAAUGUAUCUCUCUUGGAAAUGAAUGUAUUAUUUGUAAGAAUUAUGUGGAGUAUUUACCACUCUCCCUUUCCACUCUGUGUAAAAUCUGAUCAUGUCAUCACAUUCAGGAGAAUUUCCUCUAAAAUACACCACUGAUUUUAUUUACAGUGUCACAAUAAUUCCAUGAAAAAGCAGCAUUGAACAAGAAAAGUAUAAACAUCUUCAACUCAAUCAAGAUUCUGUCCAGUGAUCAAGAAAACCAAGUACCACACAGAAUAAGGAGGUGCAGGAAGAAGUAAAGCUUGCUGUGUGGAGAGACCAGCAUUGGAUCUAAGCAGGUCAGGUGUGCAAAUCCAGAGCCCAGGUUGUAGGAGAGGGAGAGACGGCCAUCCUGCAGCCCCAGGGUGAGGGAGUCCCCAGGAGGUGGCCCCAGCAGACCCCCCAGGCUGCUGGUGAUGUGGCCCUCCCCCGCCCACAUCAGCAGGCCAUCCGGCGCCUCUGACCGGAACCGCAGCCACAGAAUCUCAGGGUCGUCAUAUUUGAGGAAGGAUCGUCCACUGAAGCUUGGUGUGGCUGCCUGGGUCACCACGCGGCUCUGGCAGUGCGCGUCCUUGAAGCCGAGGGGACACCGGCAGGAGUAGGAGGCACCAUGAGGGUC